RNAcentral lists this ribosomal RNA (275 nucleotides) under uncultured bacterium. RNAcentral's name for it is "partial 16S ribosomal RNA". It matches the Rfam family "Bacterial small subunit ribosomal RNA", at positions 338 to 610 of the family's 1533-position model. The record is from RNAcentral.
CCUACGGGUGGCUGCAGUAAGGAAUAUUGGUCAAUGGACGCAAGUCUGAACCAGCCAUGCCGCGUGAAGGAUUAAGGUCCUCUGGAUUGUAAACUUCUUUUAUCUGGGACGAAAAAAGGCGAUUCUUCGUCACUUGACGGUACCAGAUGAAUAAGCACCGGCUAACUCCGUGCCAGCAGCCGCGGUAAUACGGAGGGUGCAAGCGUUAUCCGGAUUCACUGGGUUUAAAGGGUGCGUAGGCGGGCAGGUAAGUCAGUGGUGAAAUCCUGGAGCUU